ACCUUGCUGACGAGUGCCAAGUAGUACGAAACCCGGGUCCAAGGU
RNAcentral lists this non-coding RNA (45 nucleotides) under Schistosoma margrebowiei. The record is from RNAcentral. Lineage: Eukaryota; Metazoa; Platyhelminthes; Trematoda; Strigeidida; Schistosomatidae.